This 74-nucleotide transfer RNA is filed under the name Lagotis brachystachya. RNAcentral's name for it is "tRNA-Trp". It matches the Rfam family "tRNA". Rfam says of the family: Transfer RNA (tRNA) molecules are approximately 80 nucleotides in length. Their secondary structure includes four short double-helical elements and three loops (D, anti-codon, and T loops). Further hydrogen bonds mediate the characteristic L-shaped molecular structure. tRNAs have two regions of fundamental functional importance: the anti-codon, which is responsible for specific mRNA codon recognition, and the 3' end, to which the tRNAs corresponding amino acid is attached (by aminoacyl-tRNA synthetases). tRNAs cope with the degeneracy of the genetic code in two manners: having more than one tRNA (with a specific anti-codon) for a particular amino acid; and 'wobble' base-pairing, i.e. permitting non-standard base-pairing at the 3rd anti-codon position. Lineage: Eukaryota; Viridiplantae; Streptophyta; Magnoliopsida; Lamiales; Plantaginaceae. RNAcentral also lists the same sequence under 2 other names. The record is from RNAcentral.
GCGCUCUUAGUUCAGCUCGGUAGAACGUGGGUCUCCAAAACCCGAUGUCGUAGGUUCAAGUCCUACAGAGCGUG